RNAcentral lists this ribosomal RNA (402 nucleotides) under Enterobacter cloacae. Its description in RNAcentral is "bacterial SSU rRNA". It matches the Rfam family "Bacterial small subunit ribosomal RNA", at positions 544 to 946 of the family's 1533-position model. The record is from RNAcentral. Lineage: Bacteria; Pseudomonadati; Pseudomonadota; Gammaproteobacteria; Enterobacterales; Enterobacteriaceae.
AUCGGAUUACUGGGGCGUAAGCGCACGCAGGCGGUCUGUCAAGUCGGAUGUGAAAUCCCCGGGCUCAACCUGGGAACUGCAUUCGAAACUGGCAGGCUAGAGUCUUGUAGAGGGGGGUAGAAUUCCAGGUGUAGCGGUGAAAUGCGUAGAGAUCUGGAGGAAUACCGGUGGCGAAGGCGGCCCCCUGGACAAAGACUGACGCUCAGGUGCGAAAGCGUGGGGAGCAAACAGGAUUAGAUACCCUGGUAGUCCACGCCGUAAACGAUGUCGACUUGGAGGUUGUGCCCUUGAGGCGUGGCUUCCGGAGCUAACGCGUUAAGUCGACCGCCUGGGGAGUACGCACGCAAGGUUAAAACUCAAAUGAAUUGACGGGGGCCCGCACAACCGGUGCAGCAUGUGGUU